UGAGAAAUCUUGCGCAAUCGGGGAAACCCUGACGCAGCAACGCCGCGUGAGUGAGGAAGGUCUUCGGGUCGUAAAGCUCUGUCAGGCGGGAAGAAAUGCAUGGAGGUGAACAGCCGCCAUGCUUGACGGUACCGCCAGAGGAAGCACCGGCUAACUCCGUGCCAGCAGCCGCGGUAAUACGGGGGGUGCAAGCGUUGUUCGGAAUCAUUGGGCGUAAAGAGCGUGUAGGCGGCUUGGUAAGUCAGAUGUGAAAGCCCUGGGCUCAAACCGGGAAGUGCAUUUGAAACUGCCAGGCUCGAGUAGGGGAGAGGGAAGUGGAAUUCCUGGUGUAGAGGUGAAAUUCGUAGAUAUCAGGAGGAACACCGGUGGCGAAGGCGACUUCCUGGCCCUAUACUGACGCUGAGACGCGAGAGCGUGGGUAGCAAACAG
Molecule: ribosomal RNA, 429 nt
Filed under: uncultured bacterium
Lineage: Bacteria
Description: bacterial SSU rRNA
Rfam family: Bacterial small subunit ribosomal RNA
Source: RNAcentral